ACGGGAAUAACAUUGCGAAAGCGAUGCUGAUACCGGAUAAGCUCACGAUUUGAUUGAUUGUGGGAAAAGAUGGCCUCUGUAUAUGCUAUCGCUUGAAGAUGAGUCCGCGUACCAUUAGCUUGUUGGUAGGGUAAUGGCCUACCAAGGCUUCGAUGGUUAGCUGGCCUGAGAGGGCGGCCAGCCACACUGGAACUGAGACACGGUCCAG
RNAcentral lists this ribosomal RNA (208 nucleotides) under uncultured bacterium. RNAcentral's name for it is "partial 16S ribosomal RNA". It matches the Rfam family "Bacterial small subunit ribosomal RNA", at positions 137 to 334 of the family's 1533-position model. The record is from RNAcentral.